This is a long non-coding RNA of Hirundo rustica (Barn swallow), 3607 nucleotides long. RefSeq lists it as uncharacterized. The record is from RefSeq and is a predicted model, not a curated record. The transcript has 4 exons. Lineage: Eukaryota; Metazoa; Chordata; Aves; Passeriformes; Hirundinidae.
CCCGGGCCGGGCUGCAGGGAGGGGGCAGAGGGGAGGACGAUGAGGGGCAGCGCCGCCGCCGAGACCUCCGUUCCCCCGUCUCUGGGGGACCCUUCCUGCCCUCAGUGAGGGGCCCUUCCCCUUCCCCUUCCCGCCCCUGCGAGGGAUGCCCUCUCCAUCCCUCCUUCAGGUCACGUUAAAAUAACCCAGGGCCAUUUCCUGCUUGUAUUCCUUUAAAGUUCCGGGGUGCGUGUGGGAAAGCGGUUCCUUGUGUGGAGCUGGCCAAGAAGCCUUGCCGUGCUACCGUCUACCGUCACUAUUUUCUCUCUCAUUUUUUUUGUUUUUUUUUUUUAUUUUUAAACACAGCUAAAGUUCCUCUGACAGCUCUUAGCUCCGAGACAGACCUCCCUAACCUUCUAUGAGGAAAAAGAAUUUCCUUGGAGGAACAGGCAUCCCAGUUCCAAAGUAGUGAAGAGCAAGCAGAGAAAGGUGCAGUAGAACUGUCUAUGGUAUUUAUCUUACUUUUUUUGUUGUUCUUAAAACAGCAUUUGACAACCGUAAGUGGAAAAAUAAAAGGGAUGGUUUUGCAGCAUUAGCAGACACCAUCUCGUACAACCACAAAUUGAAGUAUUUUUUGGAAUAUUUUGGAAUGAUGAGGAAAGAUGUUGAUAAGGUGGCACAUUUAUGUUUCAGUUUCCAAGGCUUACUGUGUUUCUGUUGUUUGCAGACAGUGAAGGUUAUUGUCAGAACAUGGAGAUUGAAUUCCACAACUUCCCGCAGACUAGAAUGCUGGGUGGGAAUUGGCAGGUCAGAGGAGACUUUUGGAACACGUGUGAGAAAUGGGCUUUAUUACAGAAACUUCAGUGUGAGAAGUGAUGACUCCAAAGCGCUUGGGACUACUGAUACUGAAACGGCUGCGAUUUCUCGGGGAGCUCGGAAUGAAAAUCCAGCCUGCUCAUCUCUCUUUAAUGCAGAAGAAAAUGAAGAUUGUGGCUUUGUCCUAAACGAUCUCUGUGAUCAUAUCAUUGUGCGUUACCUUGGAACUUCCCUGUGAGAGAACACAGUGAACAUUCCUUGCUGAGGGAUGAGAACCAAAUCUUGCAUCCAUAGCGAGAACUGAUGUAAAACAAUGCCUUGCCCAGGUAUGCAGCUCCCUUAAGGAUAUCAUCUCUGCCCUGAUGACUGAUGUGUCCUGCCCCAAAAACCAGCUUGCUUGCUUCAGGUGAGGUGGAGAGAGCUCAUUAUAAACCGUGAUAGAAAUUCUAGUGCAAGGACUUGAUCAACAGCUUUUUACCAGAGGAAGGAGUGAUUUAAUUUUUAUCAGGGAACGGUUUCAGGCUUUUACUUUUGUUACGCUGCUAAAAGAAAAAGUGAUGCUUGAAAUGACUUGAAUCACAGUUCCAGGCACAAUGUCGGAUAAUGAAGGCAUAAAACAUUGUCUAAGGGAAGGCCUGCUUAUGUUUGCUGUCUCUGAAUCUGUUACUGUUGGGAAAACUGUUCACUGCUUGAAUAAUCUAUGGAGUUUUUAGCAAGCAGUGCAUGAGGAAUACUUUUAGGCCUCUUGAAAGAGAGAAGCGAUUAGUUAUUUUCAUUCCAAGUGUUCUGCUGAAAGUAGUCCGUAUUAGAUGCUGCAGUGCUGUCCUGACUGACAGUGUGUUUGUUGGAAGUGUUCUCUGAAAGCCCAGCACUGUGGAAAUUUAAGCAUUUUUAUACAUGCUUAAGAUAUUAAUCCGAGUGUUACCGUUAUGUAAAUUAUUCAGAAGAGCCGAGACUUUUCUGUGCUACCACCGGUGCAGAAAUGAACACGGUUCCAGUGAUUCUGAGGUGAUCCCAGCACUUUAGCCUUUAACCCAGCACUGGGAAAACUUAGGGAGUGAUAUUUCAGUAACCUUGACUGACCCUCACUGAAGUGGACUUUGGUUCUUUGUGUUUGUUUGUUAGUCAUAUAAUCUCCAAACCAUGUUGCAAACGGCCACAUUUUUACCAGGUGGAUUAUAGCAAAGAUUUAGGACUAGUACGUUCCUUUAAACUCUUCUUUUACUCUGCCUUAAGUCUGAAUGCAAAUGUGAAAAUGGUUUUGAUGUAUGUGUUUGACACAGCUGUUUUUUGCCUGUCUCGGUCUUCCUUUAAUUUCGGUGUAUUUACUCUGAUGUAGUAGCAUGAUUAAUUUUUUUUCCUCAAAACUUACCAUGUCUUCCUUAGAGUAAAAAUUGGCACUUUUUUCUCAGUUUUUUCCAUAAGGGACUUACAGCUAACAGACACUUGAUAAUGGAGUUGGAUCAAUUUCUUCUUGCUGCAGGUGAGACUUGUUCUGCACAAAUGGAUUAAAUUAUUAAGUGAGAUGUGCAUGCAUUAUUCUGAAAUAAUUACCUUACUUAACAGUAAAUUUCAUUUGGCAUGUGUAAAGGCCUGUUAAUGUUUGUAGUUUGAAAACACAAGUUAUAUCAUUUAAAGUAUUGAAAGAUCUGGAGGAAGUCUCUGGUAAUUAUCGAAUCCGUUGGGAAUGGCUGCUGUAGAUUUAUAAAUAAAACAACGGGUUUGAAAACUAAGAAGAGGCUCGAUGUGAAAAGCUUUUGCUCUGCUGCCAAGUACAAGGACUCCAGGUAUCUCAGGAUGAAAUCCCAUUCAAACAUAGUAAGGAUGGCGGAGCUGGAUCUCAGGUGUGUUGAUGUCAGAAUUCCAUUGAAGUUGACAGCUCUUCAGUUGGCCCUGACAUUCUAAAUUACAGUUUAUUUCUCUGCCUUUUUCCCCCAAACAAAUCUGUUUUAAAUACUUCUGUGAAGGAGAGUCGACUUCCUUGCUCAGCAGUCUCUUAACCUCGAUGGAGGUUUGAAUUUCAAGGCCCUUGAGGGUCUUGUGGUUUCAGAAAAUGGGAAGCAUUUGUGAGUGAGUGACAGUUCAGCACGAGAGCCCUGAAGGGACAUGAUAUUGUUAGUAACAGUUAUACCCAGAGACCAGGUGCAUGGUGGCAUCAGAACCUUCGGGGAAGCUGAAGUUCCGUUCUAUUUUUGCUUUGGGUACACAGAUGCUUUGUGAGUCGCUUUUACCUACAAAUCAUUUGAAAAUAUCAAUUUUGUUUCUCGCUUAUUAAAAAAACCUCGUGGCUGUUUUGCUGUGGCCUCCAGGUCCCCAAAGUUGUGCUGUGUGCCUCCGAGCAGGUGUUUCCAUUCCGGCCUAGGGUGUCUAGUGGAAAAUAUCCUUUUGCUUCCCAUUUCUGGAAGUGCUAAUGUCAUUCCUUGUCCAGCUCAGCAGGCUCAACCUGCAGGCAUUAUGUAGAUUUUUGCUUUGAGCCACUUUUGUAUAGUUAAAAGUGCUUCCUUCUUGUGUGUUUGUCUUCCAAAAGAUGAAAUAGGGGGUUUUGGCAGCCUUUUCUCCUGGGAGUUCAGCUAAAGGCAUAGUGAGUGGUAGUCUGUGCUCUUUGACAAUGUGGUUACUGGGAAGAAAAUGAGAAGACAUCUGUGAAAAAACAACAGGCAUCUGGGAGUUUGGGAGUUCAUCUCCCAAAUUUGGGAUAUGCCAUUUGGGGCAUUCUCUUUGUCUAGUUGAUCACCAGCUGGAAAUGCAGCAGACUAGCGGUGAAAGUCUGUCUCAUUUUGUUACUUGGGUGAGUAGUGGUCAUACUUCUUUG